RNAcentral lists this ribosomal RNA (233 nucleotides) under uncultured bacterium. RNAcentral's name for it is "partial 16S ribosomal RNA". It matches the Rfam family "Bacterial small subunit ribosomal RNA", at positions 1268 to 1500 of the family's 1533-position model. The record is from RNAcentral.
CAAAUCUCCAAAAAACGUACUCAGUUCGGAUUGUAGGCUGCAACCCGCCUGCAUGAAGUCGGAAUUGCUAGUAAUCGUAGAUCAGCAUGCUACGGUGAAUACGUUCCCGGGCCUUGUACACACCGCCCGUCAAACCAUGAGAGUUGGCAACACCCGAAGCCUGUAGCUUAACCGCAAGGACGGCGCAGUCGAAGGUGGGGUCGAUGAUUAGGGUUAAGUCGUAACAAGGUAGC